This 217-nucleotide long non-coding RNA is filed under the name Eutrema salsugineum. RNAcentral describes it as "long non-coding RNA (ESAL_LNC001321)". The record is from RNAcentral. Lineage: Eukaryota; Viridiplantae; Streptophyta; Magnoliopsida; Brassicales; Brassicaceae.
CUACCUAUCAUCUAAUCGAUUUCAUCAUCUUCUCUUCUCAUCCUCUACCAUAUCCAUCGAACUCAUCCCUCCACCAUCAUCACCAUCGAUCCGCCGAGCCACCAUCGUCUCUCAUCGCUUCUAGUCACCAUCGUGUCACCACCACCACCAUAGCGCCUCGUUGAUUCCUUCUAUCCAUCAUAUCGCGGCAUCUAUUUCCCUUUGCUUCAGAGUUAAU